This 72-nucleotide transfer RNA is filed under the name Camelus bactrianus (Bactrian camel). It matches the Rfam family "tRNA". Rfam says of the family: Transfer RNA (tRNA) molecules are approximately 80 nucleotides in length. Their secondary structure includes four short double-helical elements and three loops (D, anti-codon, and T loops). Further hydrogen bonds mediate the characteristic L-shaped molecular structure. tRNAs have two regions of fundamental functional importance: the anti-codon, which is responsible for specific mRNA codon recognition, and the 3' end, to which the tRNAs corresponding amino acid is attached (by aminoacyl-tRNA synthetases). tRNAs cope with the degeneracy of the genetic code in two manners: having more than one tRNA (with a specific anti-codon) for a particular amino acid; and 'wobble' base-pairing, i.e. permitting non-standard base-pairing at the 3rd anti-codon position. RNAcentral also lists the same sequence under 2 other names. The record is from Rfam by way of RNAcentral. Lineage: Eukaryota; Metazoa; Chordata; Mammalia; Artiodactyla; Camelidae.
GGAGGUAUAGCUCGGUGGCAUUGCACAUGCUUAGCAUGCAUGAGGUCCUGAGUUCAACUCCCAGUACCCUCA